UGAAACGACUGCUAAGACUGGAUAGGAAGAUAAAAGGCAUCUUUUAUCUUUUAAAAGACCUAGUAAUAGGUAUGCUUUAGGAGGGGCUUGCGCCAUAUUAGUUAGUUGGUAGGGUAAUGGCCUACCAAGACGAUGAUGUGUAGCUGGACUGAGAGGUUGAACAGCCACAUUGGGACUGAGACACGGCCCAAACUCCUACGGGAGGCAGCAGUAGGGAAUUUUCGGCAAUGGAGGAAACUCUGACCGAGCAACGCCGCGUGAAUGACGAAGUACUUCGGUAUGUAAAGUUCUUUUAUCAAGGAAGAAAAGCAAAUGGCGAACCAUUUGUUUGCCGGUACUUGAUGAAUAAGCCCCGGCUAAUUAUGUGCCAGCAGCCGCGGUAAGACAUAAGGGGCAAGUGUUAUCCGGAAUUAUUGGGCGUAAAGGGUGCGUAGGCGGUCUAGUAAGUCAGUGGUGUAAUGGCAACGCUUAACGUUGUCCGGCUAUUGAAACUGCUAAACUUGAGUUAGAUAGAGGCGAGUGGAAUUCCAUGUGUAGCGGUAAAAUGCGUAAAUAUAUGGAGGAACACCAGAGGCGUAGGCGGCUCGCUGGGUCUUAACUGACGCUGAGGCACGAAAGCGUGGGGAGCAAACAGGAUUAGAUACCCUGGUAGUCCACGCCGUAAACGAUGAGUACUAAGUGUCGGGUUAAACCGGUACUGAAGUUAACACAUUAAGUACUCCGCCUGAGUAGUACGUACGCAAGUAUGAAACUUAAAGGAAUUGACGGGACUCCGCACAAGCGGUGGAUCAUGUUGUUUAAUUCGAAGAUACCCGAAAAACCUUACCAGGUCUUGACAUGUUUUUGCAAAAUGAUAGUAAUAUCGUGGAGGUUACCAGAAACACAGGUGGUGCAUGGUUGUCGUCAGCUCGUGUCGUGAGAUGUUAGGUUAAGUCCUAAAACGAGCGAAACCCUUAUCGUUAGUUGCCAGCACGUUAUGGUGGGGACUUUAACGAGACUGCCAAUGAUAAAUUGGAGGAAGGUGAGGAUCACGUCAAAUCAGCAUGCCCCUUAUGACCUGGGCUACAAACGUGAUACAAUGGCUGUUACAAAGGGUAGCUGAAACGCAAGUUCUUGGCCAAUCCCCAAAAACAGUCCCAGUCCGGAUUGAAGUCUGCAACUCGACUUCAUGAAGUUGGAAUCGCUAGUAAUCGCGAAUCAGCAUGUCGCGGUGAAUACGUUCUCGGGGUUUGUACACACCGCCCGUCA
RNAcentral lists this ribosomal RNA (1248 nucleotides) under Candidatus Phytoplasma citri. RNAcentral describes it as "bacterial SSU rRNA". It matches the Rfam family "Bacterial small subunit ribosomal RNA", at positions 152 to 1399 of the family's 1533-position model. The record is from RNAcentral. Lineage: Bacteria; Bacillati; Mycoplasmatota; Mollicutes; Acholeplasmatales; Acholeplasmataceae.